GCACGAGUCUAUUGGCAUAGAAUAUGGAAGAUUUUCUACGUAAGCUGGUUGUACAAAGUUUGUUUGUUCAUACAGGCAGUGUGAUUUGGGGGGAUUUUGUUUGCUCCGCAAGGUAGCCAGAGCCAGCCAGUUUUUCACAAAAUAGGCAUGAUUCAACUGCAAAACAGAAAAGUAGUGUGGAGAACUAGUAAGAAUUGUGCCUGCCAUCCAAUUCGUGACGCAUGGCGAGAUUCCUCUACCACUCUAUAAAUGGAG
Molecule: long non-coding RNA, 255 nt
Filed under: Panax ginseng (ginseng)
Lineage: Eukaryota; Viridiplantae; Streptophyta; Magnoliopsida; Apiales; Araliaceae
Description: long non-coding RNA (PGIN_LNC001706)
Source: RNAcentral